RNAcentral lists this ribosomal RNA (229 nucleotides) under Brachymyrmex sp. SL13.01. Its description in RNAcentral is "partial large subunit ribosomal RNA". Lineage: Eukaryota; Metazoa; Arthropoda; Insecta; Hymenoptera; Formicidae. The record is from RNAcentral.
GAAUUUAAUAUAAUAUUUAAUAAAUAUUUAGUAAUUAUAUUUAUUUAAUAUUAUAUUUUAUUGGGAGGAUAGUUAAAUUUAUUAAACUUUAAAUUAUAUUAAACAUAAGUUAUUGAAAUAAUGAUGAAUAAUUUAAAUUUUUUUUAUUUAUUAAAUUAUUGAAAAAUUAAUUACCUUAGGGAUAACAGCGUAAUAUUUUUAGAAAGAUCAUAUUGAUAUAAAUGAUUGC